RNAcentral lists this ribosomal RNA (325 nucleotides) under Foraminifera environmental sample. RNAcentral describes it as "SSU rRNA". It matches the Rfam family "Eukaryotic small subunit ribosomal RNA", at positions 1160 to 1404 of the family's 1831-position model. Lineage: Eukaryota; Foraminifera. The record is from RNAcentral.
AAGGGCACCACAAGAACGCGUGGAGCAUGUGGCUUAAUUUGACUCAACGCGGGAAAUCUUACCGGGUCCGGACACACUGAGGAUUGACAGGUUUUCGUGGAUAGCUAUCUCGCAUAGCUUGACACCAUAAAGAUGCUAGUCCUUUCAUGAUUGUGUGAUAGGUGGUGCAUGGCCGUUCUUAGUUCGUGGAGUGAUCUGUCUGCUUAAUUGCGUUUCACACAGGAAGUUUAACGUACAUGUGAGUGUGAGCUGACGCGGCUCUUUUGAGCCUUGCUGUCGCUCCGUUCCGUGUAUAAACUAUUCCUGACUGCAACGAACCUGACCG